Molecule: ribosomal RNA, 446 nt
Filed under: uncultured bacterium
Lineage: Bacteria
Description: bacterial SSU rRNA
Rfam family: Bacterial small subunit ribosomal RNA
Source: RNAcentral
AGCCAGACUCCUACGGGAGGCAGCAGUGGGGGAUAUUGCACAAUGGGGGAAACCCUGAUGCAGCAACGCCGCGUGAGUGAAGAAGGUCUUCGGAUUGUAAAGCUCUGUUCUUGGUGAAGAUAAUGACGGUAGCCAAGGAGAAAGCUCCGGCUAACUACGUGCCAGCAGCCGCGGUAAUACGUAGGGAGCGAGCGUUGUCCGGAAUUACUGGGUGUAAAGGGAGCGUAGGCGGGACGGCAAGUCAGAUGUGAAAACUGAGGGCUCAACUUUCAGACUGCAUUUGAAACUGCUGUUCUUGAGUGAAGUAGAGGUAAGCGGAAUUCCUAGUGUAGCGGUGAAAUGCGUAGAUAUUAGGAGGAACAUCGGUGGCGAAGGCGGCUUACUGGGCUUUUACUGACGCUGAGGCUCGAAAGCGUGGGGAGCAAACAGGAUUAGAUACCCCAGUA